UGACCUAGAGCGUUCUUUUGCAAAACAGU
This 29-nucleotide small RNA is filed under the name Bombyx mori (domestic silkworm). RNAcentral's name for it is "ovarian small RNA-3609". Lineage: Eukaryota; Metazoa; Arthropoda; Insecta; Lepidoptera; Bombycidae. The record is from RNAcentral.